AUUGAACGCUGGCGGCAGGCCUAACACAUGCAAGUCGAGCGGAGCGGCGGACGGGUGAGUAAUGCCUAGGAAUCUGCCUGGUAGUGGGGGAUAACGUCCGGAAACGGGAGCUAAUACCGCAUACUAUUAGAUUAGCCUAGGUCGGAUUAGCUAGUUGGUGGGGUAAAGGCAUACCAAGGCCACGAUCCGUAACUGGUCUGGGAGGAGGAUCAGUCACACUGGAACUGAGACACGGUCCAGACUCCUACGGGAGGCAGCAGUGGGGAAUAUUGGACAAUGGGCGAAAGCCUGAUCCAGCCAUGCCGCGUGUGUGAAGAAGGUCUUCGGAUUGUAAAGCACUUUAAGUUGGGAGGCGUUACUAACAGAAUAAGCACCGGCUAACUUCGUGCCAGCAGCCGCGGUAAUUC
This 407-nucleotide ribosomal RNA is filed under the name uncultured bacterium. RNAcentral describes it as "partial 16S ribosomal RNA". It matches the Rfam family "Bacterial small subunit ribosomal RNA", at positions 30 to 526 of the family's 1533-position model. The record is from RNAcentral.